This 1782-nucleotide long non-coding RNA is filed under the name Canis lupus familiaris (dog). Its description in RNAcentral is "lncRNA (ENSCAFG00000054035.1, ENSCAFG00845012523.1)". Lineage: Eukaryota; Metazoa; Chordata; Mammalia; Carnivora; Canidae. The record is from RNAcentral.
UUUUUUUUUUUUUUUUUUUUUUUUUAUGAUAGUCACACAGAGAGAGAGAGAGACAGAGACACAGGCAGAGGGAGAAGCAGGCUCCAUGCACCGGGAGCCAGACGCGGGAUUUGAUCCCACGUCUCUAGGAUCGCGCCCUGGGCCAAAGGCAGGCGCCAAACCACUGCGCCACCCAGGGAUCCCCACUAGUGGGGUCUUUAUAUAUUUUGGACUUAAGACUUUUUCAAAAAUAUUCAUUGCAAACAUUUCCUCCUAGUUGGUAGCUUACCUUUUUGUGUUUUUAGUGGUGUCCCCUGAAGAGCACAAUUAUUUCUUAAAUAAUCCAUGCUUUUUUGUAUCCUAUGAAACCUCUACCCAUCCCUAGGUCAUGAAGAUUUUCUCCUGUGUUUAGUUCUGGUUAUUUUAUAAUAUAUUAGCAUUUAUAUUUACUCCUACAAUCCUAUUAGAAUUUAAUUUUUGUGUGAGGUAAGCUAAGGAUUAAGAUGCAUUUUUUUCCUAUAUGGAAAUUUGGUUGUUCUAGUAUGAUUUGUUGAAAAGACUAACAUUUCCUCAUUGCAUUACCUUGGCACUGUAAAAUCAAAAAUUUCCUUGGCACUCUAAAACAUCAGUUACUAUUUGUGUUGUCUAUUUGUGGACUCUUUAUUCUUUUCCAUUGGUUAACUUAUCUGUCCUGAAAUCAGUACCACAUUGUCUUGAUAGAGACUUAGAAUAUCUUAAACUUACAUAGUGUAAGCUCUCUAACUUUGUUUUUCUCCUUUAUGUUUUUUGUCUUUCCAUACAUAUUUUAGAAUAAUCUUGUCUUUUUCUACAAAAAUUUUCUAUUGGGAUUUGGAUAGGAAUUGUAUUUUCUAAUUAUUAACUGACAUUGCAUGGAAAUGAAAUUGAAUUUUAUAUAUUGUCUAUUUCCUGAAGUCUUAUUUCACUCAUCAUUUAAAGUAGAUCUCUUCCUACAUUAACUAGGAUUUUGUAUAUAGAUACUCAUGUCCUCAUAUUAUCUGCAAAUACACACUAUUUUAUUUCUUAUUUGCCAAUCUACUAAUCUCUAUGUUUUUUGUUUUGAUUUUAUUGCACUGAUUAGAACCUCCAUUAUAAAGUUGAAUAUAAAUGGUCAUUCUUCAUUCCUGAUUUUAAGGGAAAUCACACACCCUUUUAUUAGCGAUGAUGUUAGAUGUAGACUUUAUCAUAUUGAGAUGGUUUUUAUAAUAAGUAGCAGUUGAAUAUUAUCAAAUAAUUUUUCUGUAUCUAUUAAAACAAGCACAGUUCUCUUUUUUAUCUUAUUGUGAAUGGCAUUGAUUGAUUUUCAAAUGUUAAAACAAAAUCACAUUCGUGAGAUAGACUCCAUUUAGUCAUGACAUAUGAUUCCAUAUUUUUAGGUUGCUAAGUUUAAUUUGCUAAUAUUUUGUUAAGAAAUUUUAUGUCUACCUUAAUGAGAGAUUUGAUAUGCAGUUUUAUUUUGUGCACUGUCUUUGUCUAGUUUUAGUAUUAAGGUAAUGCUCAUUUCAUAAAGUUAAAUGACAAGUGUUCCUUCUAGCCUCUGCAAGGUUCUCAGUAAUACUGGUAUUGCUUCUUUCUGAAAUGUAUGCUCAAGUACAUUGAUGAAGCGUUCUGAGUCUAUUGUUCUCUUCAUGAGAAAGUAUUUACUUCUAAAUUCAAUGUCUUUAAUAGGUUAUUCAGUUUUUUCUAUUUCUCCUUAAGUUAAUUUUGAUAAUUUGUAUUUUUAAGGAAUUUGUACUUUUCUUCUAUGUAGUAAGAAGUACAUAGUAUUAGAAGCUAUUAAUAAUG